Capra hircus (goat) is the source of this 14605-nucleotide long non-coding RNA. RefSeq lists it as uncharacterized. The transcript has 2 exons. NCBI's taxonomy places the organism in Eukaryota, Metazoa, Chordata, Mammalia, Artiodactyla, Bovidae. The record is from RefSeq and is a predicted model, not a curated record.
CUGGAGAAGGAAAUGGCAAUCCACUCCAGUACUAUUGCCUGGAAAAUCCCAUGGACAGAGGAGCCUGGUAAAGUCACUGUUGUACAAUGGAAAAGCAAGUGGGCAAUGAUGUGUUUUGAGAUAAUCAGUGGAAAUAGUGAAAGAAGGAAAAUGAAGUCUUCAUGAAGUAGAUAGGAUUUUCUAAAUUGUUUGGAGGAUUAGAAAGCUGGGGGACAGUGUGUGUGUGUGAAACUGUGGAGUUAGAAAGCUGGGGGAUAGGCAAGGACAGGAAAGAACAGAUUCAGAUUGUGUGUGUGUGAGAGAGAGAGAGAGAAGAAAACUGUUAGAAAGCUGGGGGAUAGGCUAAGAAAGGAAAGAACAGACUCAGAUGUAAAGACGAUGUGUGACAGGUUGGAGAGUGGGACUUUCAUUUGCUCAAUGUUAACUUUAGUAAACUCCCUCCAUUCAAAAAUAUAGAAAAUGUCAAUACAUUUAUAAUGUAAAGGUGUAAAUAAAUGUGCCAGGCCCUUAGGGAAAAAGAUGACUAAGACAUGACCUCUCUCCCCACAGCUGACUGUCUAGGAGCUGAAUAAGAAUGUGCGAGAGGUCUACCUCUGUACACCCGGUGGCAUUCCAAUUCAAUGCCAUAGAUUCUUUAAUGUAAGCUUUAACAGAGUGCUCUGUGGGAGUUCAGGAUUAAUGGGAAAAUUACAACAAAUUUGAAAGGAUGUACAGUUUAAUCGGAUUCUCAAAAGAUGCAAAAGAGCUUCGGCAAGCAGAGGAAGGUACACAAGCCAAAGGAAAGAGGCCAGAAAGGCAUGGUGUAAAUGGAAACAGUAAGAGAGAUGCUAGUACAUAGGUGCAGAGAAGAGAAUCUAUUAGGAACAAAUCUGAAAUACUUAAUAUUUUCAAGGAAGGAGUAUAGAUAUUUUCCAGCAGCCUCUAGUGAGCUUAAGCAGUCAAGAGAUUAAAAUGUUAGAGAUAACUGAAGCCACUGCUAGGAAUCCUAUGAAGAAUAGGCCUGAAUUCAGAAAGCAAGUGAAUUUACUCAAGUAUACUGAAAAUAGAUGGUGGGAGUGGAUUGCCCCACACAGGAAAGGGUGUACCUAUCAAUCACAGAAUCUCUUUCAGUACAGUAGGGGGUUCACUGAUGAAUGAUCUUGGUUAAACCUAGGUAGGGUUUUCUGCAGGAGGAAGGUAGAAGAAGAUAGAAAUUAACACAAAUUUAGAAUGGGUCAGUUGAGUGAUUUUUUUUUAAAAAGAGAAGAUGGGACUAUGGUAUGGGCAAAGGUCAAAUAAAAAUGGAGAGGCAGGGCAGAUGCUGAGUCACAGAAGAUUAUGGGGUAUGGUGAACCCCAUGCUGGUUCAUCGAGGGUACUGGAAAAUGAGGAAGAGCAGUAAAGAGAGAUGGGAACAAUGGGAGAUCAGAGACUGGGCUACCUGGUUAAAUUUUAUUAUUAAGUAAAGACACAAGACACUAUGUAUAAGCGAGUGAUAAGGAAAUAUGGAUUAAGAAAGUAAAUGGGAAUGGUAUUAAUACAGAUAAUAUUCCUGAAACUUUUGUGGCAAAUUUUCAAUUAAAUGGUUUGGUUGAUACAGUGAAAAGUUACAUGGACUCUAAGGUGAACUCAGUAAAACCCAGUGGUAGCAAUUGCUGCUUCUUGUGAGAAAGGAUGACUACUAACACGAGCGAUGAGGAGAGUUGGUGAGAGAGCCUUUCCAUGGCAGGAGGACAAGACUGAGCAUAUUGCCAUAACAAAGAUAAGCACUUCAUGACCACACAAGGCAGAUAACAAGGGCACAGGGGAGGAAUGCCCUGAAGAUCUGCAUUAAAACUGUUCCCAGAAAGGAGGCUUGUUUUGUGAGGACUGAAUGAAACUGAGAGAUAACUGUUGAGCAAACCUGUAUGGAAAAUACCCAAAAACAUAGAAUUAAAGAAAAGCUGGAUGCUGGAAGACAAGAAAGGCAAGAGCUGUGUGAUUUAGGCUGGGGUGCAGGACACGCACUGUGACAAAUGGCAGGUUGGGAGAUUUGGUAGGGGGCUGCCAGGUCUCAGCCACUGGAGGGAAGGAAGACUGUGACUAAGUAAGUGGGAUUAUGAGGCGAUUCCAGAAAGCUUUGUUGGAAUGAUAGUUACAGAGAUGGAUGUGGUCAGUGGGGCAGAAGAUAAAAGGAUAGGGGGGAUGGGCCAGAAACACAGGCUACCCGCAGCAUUCCCCACAGGUCUGGACUGAACUGAGAAGAAAGGGGUGUAUAGAGAGUGAGGGGAGUCAAGGCAAAUGAAAGAAAGCGAGUGGGGCAGUGAGUGCCAAAAAUGAGGAGUAUGUGCCCUCCAGGGAAACGCUACACACAUGGCAGGAGGGGUGCUGAAGAUAAGGCUUUUCUCUAGGACAAACAUGGGGGGCAAGGAAGAGAGGGACAGAACUGAAAGAUUAGAGUGCUCCCAGGCAGAGAGGAGCCGCUGAGGAAUGACAGAGGGCAGCAUGAAGGACAAGUCAGCAUUCCUGGGCCAGAAGUCAGGACGGAAUACGGAAGGAGAGAGAGACGGAGGCAAAGAAAGGGAAAUACUGCCGAGUGGAGAGCAGAGAAGGCAGCAGGUGUGGGACAGACUUUGCCUCGAGAACCCUGCCAGAGCUCAGCAGGGUCUAAGGGGACAUGUUUUGAAUGUAAAGACUGUAUGGGGAUGAGAAAUACACAAAGUGUGAGGCCAAAGACUGGAGUGGGAGGGAGGAGCAGAUCAGCUCUUGAAGCACCAAUUUGGAGGGAAACUGUCAAAGGACUUGGGUGACAGGAAAGUAUAUAAGGAAGCCAGUUACAAUGAAUGCAGAUAAAAACCCAUUGCUGGCAUCUUUAGAGAUUAGGUUUGACUUAUUAGAGGACAUGAAUAGGUAGUUUGGCCAGAGGACAGAUUAUUGUAGUAGAUGGGGAGAUGAGUGACAAUCCUGAAGAAAAUAUACCUGAAGAGAAGUAUUUUGCAUCCAUUUCAUCUGUAGACAGACGGUAAAUGAAAGGGUGAUGGAGAGCAGAGAUAUGGUAGAUUACUGCAGGAUACCAUUAAAAUUGGUUAUUCUUAGAAGUUACCCUAUUAUGGCUAAAAGUGAUAGACAUUUCCUAGGGAGAUUUGUGUGGAAAAAAUUCUGGAGGAAGAGAGAGGUGAGAAGAUGGAGGCUAGAAGCAUAAAACAGAAGUUAGAGGGUUUAAGUUGGGGUGCUGAAUAUAAGGGGUGUGAGAGUAGGGAAGGGCAGUAAGGAGGGCCAGAAGGAGGAACACUGGAAAAGGGCAGAGAGCGUAUUAAGUAGAGAGAUGGGAGCUAAGCUAGAUCACAACCAAAGAGGAGAGAGCAUGUGAAGAGGAAGUGGCAAACGAGAGCUGGUGUCAAUGAGCGAGUGCCUAACAGAAUCUGGGAACGUUUGCUCCAGUGCUGUCUAAAGCAACAAAUAUGACCAACAGAGUGAUAAACCAAGAGUCUAAAGGUGAUGGAUCUGAGCCUUGGCCAGUGGCAGAAUCCUGUGAAGGUCUGUACUGAACUGAAGAGUGCAAAUGUACUCAUAAUAGUGUGCAGGAAACAAGGAAGAUGAAAGAAAACCACUCACUACUCAACCCAUGGGGAAUGCUACAAAGGUAGCUGCUGAAAAAACAAGUGAUGGAGGUAACAGUGUUUCUCUAGGGUCAAUCAAAGAAAAGAGCAGAAGAGCCUGCAGAAGAGAUGGGGUCGUGUGAAGACUGGCGCGUACUGCAGGAGGGAGUUGCCACAGUACUUGUACCAGAGAUCAUGAUUAAACCAGAAAGAAGAGAGAUGGGAAACUACACAAGGGAAGAACUGCGUGUGGAGUAAUUGAGAACAGGUGGAGCGGCAUGGGUAGAUAAGACGAGGACAGUUUCCCAGAAUGGGAACUCCUGUAAGACCUUAGAACAGGUCUAAUUGGUCAAAUGAUGGUUCUUAACGCCAAACUCUGAAAAGCAGUAUAUACAAUGGGAGAAGAACAGGGCCUAAAAGUAAUGGGAUGCUUUAGUUAGGAGGAUUAAAAACAGGCUAGCAACCUUAACGACACCAAUAUAAAUCUCUGAGCACUUGGUUCUGUAGCAUGGAUCAUGAGGUAAGUGGCCAGGGAUAUGUUGUAAACCCAACUGAAAAGUAAAACUUCAUUUGUUAUUUUCAUAUACAGAUGGUAGAGGAAAUUAUGCCAUAUGUAAUUAAGAUGUGGGAAGGCAAAAACCAAAGGGAGAUACAAACAGAUAUCAUGCAGAUACCAUGUUAAAGGUAUCCUUAGAAUUUAUUCUGCCAUGUGAAGGUUCUCUGAAAGUGAAGAGACAGCUACAGGGGAGAGAACCUGCUAGGGAGUGCUGUUUCCAAGAAGACUGGAUCCACUUGAGUGAAAUAGAAUGGUAGCUAAAACAAGAAGAGAAGCUAAAGAUAAGGUAGCAUAGUUCUUCAGGACAAGACAGGUAACAAGAAAAUGAAUUGGAGAGUGACGUUACAGAUGCCCCCAGAUUAAAAGAAUGCCAUUUGAAGAAUGACAGGUAUUGACUGGAGAGAGAAGGUCCAGUAUGUGGGCCAAAAGACAGAGAAGAGGGCUCGGGGCGGGGGGAGUUAAAGCCAAGAGGAGUGCUGCACAGACAAGAGGGUGACUGCGUGGAGUGCAACAAGCAAACCACAGGACCCGCAGGAUUCCCAGAGUGGGCAAGCCUACAGGUGUGAGGACGGGCCUCGGUGCUCAGUGUGCUGGAUGUCAGCCAGACUGCAAUGACUAGUCUGUACAAUGGGAGAGAAACAGAAGCUUGAAAAGGAGUGACAGUCAGGAGCAGACUUGCUCCUGAUGUCUUCAUUGGAAAUUUUAAAUUAAAGGGCUUGGUUUUUGUUAGAAAAUUCUUCAGCCCCACCAGACCCACUGAAUCAGCAAUUUCGGGUGGGACUCAGCCAUUUGUAUUUUAACAAACUGCAGUUUGAGGGCCACUGCUUUAGAUAAAGGCAGAUAAGGAGUAAUUCUGAUUAAAAAAUCUUUGCUAGCAAGCAGUCACACUAGGAUCAGUUGAAAAUAAGAGAAGCAACUGAGGAGACUUGUAAGAAAAGACAGUAGAUAAGGGGAGAACAGUGGCUGUAAAAAGGGAACGGGCUGUGUGAUUUAAGACUUGGGUGGGAGGCUUGCAGGAAGCAGCAUGGCCGACGAGUAGGGGCAUUGAAAGAGUGCUAGAGUGAGAAAUCCUGGGACCUGGGAGAGGAGGCACCUGAAUAGAAUGACUUUUGCUAAUUUAGAUCACAACCACUGAGAGAGAGGAAGCAGGGAAUGUGGCUACAGGAGAACUGAGGUGAGGCGGGGGGAGCUGUUCAGGACGCUUUGUAGAAGACAGGCUACAGGGGCUGGAACUACAUAAUCCAGUCUAGGGUCUGAACAGAGACUGCUGAAUGAGCUAUGUUCCUUUAUCUAGAUAUGGGAAUAUGUACGUACCCAGUCUCUGAAUGAAAGAGGGGUGCUGAAUAUAAGGCACAAUUUUUAAUAAGGCAAAAAGGAGUAUAAUAGUAAAGUUAAAAUUGCUGCCAGAUGAGACAGUAUCACUUAAUAUUGAUGAAGAAACCGUCACUGACACCACAUGGAGGCAUAUGGCACCACACCUGGGCCAGAGACCAUGAUGAAAAGGAAGACGACAGCUUAGCAGCUAUCUAGGGGAAAGGCUUGUCUAAAGAGUAGAAAAUUGGUUUUGAGUGAGGGAGGAAGUGGGGGUGAGGAGAGGAGGAACCCUCAAAAAGAAUAUGCAUUCAUUGCUAUGAAAGUAAGAUAUAUGGGGGAAUUCUCCAAAGGGAAACUGACUAUAUGAGGGAUGUUAAAGAUAUACUCAGAAGUUAAAGAAAUAUAUUAGAAUUUACAGAAGGUAAGAGAAGCACCUGGGGAGACUUGUAUGAAAAAUAGCAAAGAAGGAAAGAGCAAAAGAGGUUAGAAGCUAAAUAAGGAGAAAGUCUGUGUGAAUUAGGGUGAAGAAUAUGCAGUGUUGAGGAAUAAACAUGGAAGGGCAUGAAGAGCGCUAAAUGGGAACAUUAGCGAAUGGGAACUGGAGAUGUGUCAGAGUUGCGUAUGAAUAAGGAGAGAAAGUGAGGUUAAAAGGUAGCCAAACAAGAGCUGGAGUAUGAAGUUUUGCGGUCCAGGAUGCUUUUUGGAAAAAUACUAGAAGUAACGGGUGUGGUCAAUAAGAGUGAAAGGUCAGAAACAAGCCAAGUGGGAUGGACACAGAAGGUAGGCCAGUGACAGGAACCCUAUGGAAGUUUCUGCUGAACCGAUAGUACAGACAAAUGCUGUGGGUAAGACUGUGGGACACUUAGGGAAGAUGGCAGGGGCUGAGCAGCGAGUGUCCAACACGAGGGGAUAUCUGUCCCGAAGCAACAACUGGCUCUGUAAGCAUGCUGUAAAUGCAGGUGGGAGCCAAAAGGAGGGACACAGAAGACCAGGAAGCAUGCUUCUCUAGGGCAAUGCAGGAACAGAGGGGAAGGAAUGAGAGAGCAGUGAAGCUUCCUGCAGAUGUGGAGGGGUGAUUUAGGAAUGGUGUUUAUUGACUGGUGGGUCAUGGCACAGUAUUUGGACUAAGUUUAUGAUGGACUAAGAAGGAAAAGAGAGUUUGCGAAGUGAAUAAAGGACUAUUGUAUGAACUAGAGAAGACUUAAGAAUAAUGGAGGGGCAGCAAUACAGAUCAGGGAUGUAAUAAUGAGAUGCAGAAUAGAGAUCUUGAUAUAAGUCUGAAUGUUCACACUGGAUGGGAAGGCCCAAUGGUAAUGAGUGGUGUAUCUGUUAAGAGAGUUUCAAGGACCUAGAUAAAAAUGGGAAUUAGAGAGUAGACUAGAAUGCUGUGAGUAAAUUACUCACUGUAAAUUAGAAUGCUGUGAGUAAAAUUUUUUAAUUAAAAUCUUGUUUAAUAGGAGAGUUUAUAGGAGUUUUAAGAUGAAUUCUCAUAAAAAGACAUUGUUAGUAACCUUAAAACACACCAGGAUUGACCAAUUAGGGCGCAUGGGUGAGUGGUUCUUCUGUAGAGAAGACGAUUUUUAUUUCUUGAGGAAUAGUUGGGAAUCAUUAGGGAGGUAAACAUCAGCAGAAAAAUACUGUGCCCUUUGCUGUGCUAUAGGACAGUAGCUGAAAUGGUUAAAGAUAUGGUAGAACAUAAAAGAAUAGGAAAGAAGAGGAUUACUUUUAAUCUUAAGUAAUGGGAGUAUUGAUUAGAAUGGAGUUCUCAGUAGAGUAGCAAAAAGGCAAAUGAGAUAUGAACUGAAGAGACCUGGAAUGGAGAAGUCCGUCACAUCUCAGAAGGGGUCUGAUUGGUUAAAAAUGUUUGCUGUUAAAGAGGACAGGGAGUGGGGUGCAUAAUGAGAGAGAAGUAAAGGCCUGCACACGAAUGGGUAGGAGUUAGAAAGCAGACUAGCACUUACAGUCUUGAUGGAAAAAAAAGUGGGGCAAUUUAUAUAUAAAACCCUCAAAGAGAGCAUUACGUAUUAUUUAUGGGUAUAUAAAUAUUUAUGAAAAGUAUAACAGUUUAUCAAAUUAUUUAGUGAUUUUUCUCUUGGGGAAGAGGUUAGGUGGUACAUAAGCCUCAAUUAUAUGUGCAUUGUUCUGUUCCUUUAAAAAAUAUCAAUCAAAUAUAGUAUAAAGUCAAGAUAUAAAGAAGUGAGGUAGUAGGUGUAUGAAUUUGGGGGGAAUAAAACAUUUUAAAGAGCUGGGUUGAUAAGAAUGGUUAGAAGGCAAAAUUAGGAUGAUAAGUCAUCGGUAGCAACCUGAAAGACUCUGGUCUGGCUAGGAAGUGCAGGUGAGUGGUUCAUCUGGUGAAAGGGUGAGCUGUACUUGGUAAGAAGUAAAUGUAAGUAUGCCUCAAGAGUGCACCUCAGGAGGAGACUGAUGCAUCCCUCACUACGAUGAGAGAUGGAAGCCAAAAAUAUUACAGAUGUUCCUAUAUGACAGAGCAGAUAAUCAGUGGAACUCAGGAAGAACUUGUUGAAGUAUGAUGUUAAACUGCUCAGAAAUCAGUCUGUUAGGACUGGCUGAGAGAAACUGCUGAGAUACAGAUUUUUAAAGAGAGAGAAAAAGUAGGGAAAAACGGAGGCUGAGGUUUAAGUAAGGAGAAGGGAGUAGAUAUAGGCUGUGGUGCAGAGCAUGCAGUUUCGCAAAAUGUUGAACAAACAAGGGCACUAAAGAGGGCCAGAAUGAGGAGCACAGAGCCAUCAGAACUGGACGUUCAGUGAGGAACUGUAUGGUAAGCCAGACAUCAACCAGCUGAGCAAAGAAGUGAGAAUACUGCUAAAUAAGAGCUGGAGUAUGAUGUGUUGCUGCCUAAAAGUUUUGUUGCAAAAAGAUUUUUAGUAAUCAGUGUAGUCAACAGAAUGAGAAGUUAGAGAGUGAUUAAAUGCAGUUGGACUUAAAAUGGGCCAAAGCAGGAAUCCUGAAUAGAUUUCAGUACAGAAUGUAGGAAAUAAGGAAGAUGGAUGAAGGUGGAAUUGUCGGGGCUGAAUAUUAGAAGUAUACAUAUCCAGCAAAGAUGAUUAGAUUCAUUGGAAUGAUAUAGCUGGAAGAAGAAGGAAUGUUGGAGGAAACAAAGGGAGUUUUCAGCAAAAGAAGGAGGCAGAAAAGGAAUAGAAGAGCAAUGUUCAAGUUACUUGCAGAUGGAAAGACAUUAUUUGAAUAGUCAUCGUGAUGAAAGAAAUGGCUAUUACUCCAUACUAAGGCCAGAAGUUAUGACAGAAUAAGAAAAAAAUAAGAGAGGAUGGCAAGUAAGUAAAGGGGCACUGUAUGAAUUAUAUAGGAGUUCUGAGUAGUUAGAAUGGCAACAACAUAGAUCACGUGUGAAUGAAAGAAACAGGUGUGAAUGAAAGAAACAGAACCAUCAGGUCCCUCAACUGUGUUUAGAAUGAAAGAGGAUCUGAGGCCUAAAGAAGAACAGGACUUGGGUAGGCUGGCUCUUUAAGUGUUCGUGGGAAAUUUAUGACUGAAGUGACUGCUUGUGAAGAAAGGUUAGAAAGACAUGGAUUAAGAUAAAACUUGACGAGGCGGCAUUGGUGGAAACUUAAAGAUAUCACCAUUGACUGACCUUUGAGGUGUGGAUUGGAUACUUUUUUCUGGUGGAACAACUGAGUGCUGUUGACUAAGGAGUGGUCAGAGAUCACGGAGAAGCAAACCUCAUAGUACUAAACUCAUUGAUACAUUACAGAAUCUGCAGGGGAAAGAUAAGGAGAAUGUUUAAGAUGUGGUAGGGCAGAUAUUCAAAAGGAGUUAUGGAAGACUUGCCUGUAAGUAUGAGGUUAGUUUGCCGAGAAGUUAAGGUGUCACAUGAGAGCUGGUUGACAGUGAAAGAAGCAACUGCAAACGCUUGUAUUAAAGAAAGAGGAAAGUGGAAGGGAGAGAAGAUGCUGGUUAGAGAGGGAUGCAUGAAGCAGGCUGGGUAUGUAGCAUGCAAGGUGCAAAAUGGCAAAUAUUCCUGGGACCAGAAUGAAGAAUGUGGGUAUCUCCAGCUGUUUACUACAUUAUCAGAAUACUUGUUAACAUGAGAAGUUUUUAACCUGCAUAUCAUCAUGUGCUCCAGCAACCUGGUACAGUCAGUUAGCACUCUCAAGCUAGCAAAAACUGAGUUUGUACUGUCUGUUUGGGAUAGUAUAUGUUUGCUGCAGAUAUAGUUCCUCCAUCUAUAAGCUCACUUCCUAUGCUCAAGGGUUUUAAAUGUGUUGUGCAUUAUUCCUGUCAUCUUCCCUACAAUAUGUGUGGAUCAACUCCAGCAAUUCACCAGUUGGUAAGUAAAUGUUUCCCAAAAGUUUCUUACACAUUGCAUUUAAAAAAUGUAUCUGCAUUUGGUAUUUCUCUUGAGAACCUCUCAUUAUCCAUGCAGUGUAAAAUGGAGAAUGCAAUUACAGUCUUAUAGUAUGGGAUCAUUUUGCACUACAUACAAACAUGUACACUAGUGAAUGAAUUUUAUGCUAAAUAAUUAUGUAGUUGUUCUUUAAAGUGGUUUAUAAGAAAUACUUAGAAUUUUUUUAUAAUAGCAUUUGUGUGAUGGUUGAGAAGAUAUGUUGGAUUUUAUUUUUUUAAUGAAGAUGGUUACAGGCCUUUUGAAUUUAAGAUAUUGCAAUGUAAGCAUUUACUAAGAAAAACUGUUAUUCAGCAUAUUUUAAAGAAAAGAUAAUGAAAAUUCCUUGUCCUUAUAAGGCAGAUGAGUCAGGAAGAGAACUGGGUGGUGAGGCAUUUAUUAAAAAAGAAAGGGGGGGGAGAGAAAGUGAUAACUGAAAAUGAGACAUAAGGACAGGAUCUGGGAGAGCAUGUCUGCAUAAGAAAGUGUAGUUGGCAGAAAGGUCAGAGACAAACUCAGUGAAGUGGACCUAAAACAAGACAAAUUGCAGGGCUCCAACCAAGGAAUAAAUAGAAAACCAAAGCAAUUCAGCAAAAUAUGUAAGAAAGGAGAAACAUGGAACUGGAUUGAGCAAUGACUGUAGAAGAAAAAGAACCAAAGAGGGAGGUAUUAGUGAGUGUGUGAGAAUGGUACGUACUCAGUAUAUAAACGGUUAAUAAAAGGUAGAACAGGGAGAGAAGAGGCAGAAGAAAAUGGGUGGAAAAGCAAAAUUUAACCUCAGAUGGGAAAGAUCAUGUGAGCAAUGACAUGCUGAAAAACAAGGUUUGGCACUAUAAUUGUAUCUAACGGAACAAGGAAGAAUAUAGGUGAUAGAAACCAAGGAAAAAGAGCACGGUAUAAAAACAUUUCUGAGCAACAAGAUUAAACAUAGGGUAAAACAGUUUCACAAGGAGAUACUUGCUGAGGGCAGAAAUGGACACAGGAUUAAAGACAGGUCGAAAGUAUUAAAUAAGUGAAGGCAGAUGGAAACAAGUCAGAAAGCAACUGUAUGCAUUAGAGUGGAAUAUUACAAAAAGGCAAAGUGGAAAAAGAAGACAUAAAUAAAGAGGGAUUCAGCUGACAUGGGGGAAAGGGAGCCAUGGAAUGAAUUAAAAACUGCACAUCCACAUCUAGAAAGGAUUUAUAACUUUGUAAGAUGGAACUGGGCCAAUUAUGAAAUGGGGGUGGGUUGAGGUAUGCAGGGUUUAAAUAUGGCGGAGAAGAGAAAGGGGAACAAAACAGAUAUGCAAAAGUAGAGUUACACCUAGAAAUAAAGGAGUCCAUGAGAAGAAACAAGAAUGAGACCAAAAUGUCUUUAUUCAGUAAUAAUGGAAAUAGAGGAAGACCAAAGGAAAGGAAAACUGCAUGGAUUACAUAGAGACAAUGACUAGAGUCUAGUAAAACCCAAUGCAUGAUGAGGGUAAUAGCAAAGACAGGGCAAAAUAAGGUAGCAGAACAGAGAAUCCUGCCAAGCUUGCUACAGUGUAUAAACUUAAAACAUAAGAAGUAUUAAUGAAAGAAGAAAACAUUAAAUGAGCAUGUGAGUGAAAUCAGGUUAAGAAGAGGGGUUAAACCCACAUAUACCUUUUAAUAGCUGAGUUCAGGAAGAUUCAAGUUUUCAACGAGAUCUACAAGGGAGAGAAGAGUCUGGCAAUGAGAGUGUGGUAGAGGAACAAAGGAUGAGAGGAAAGGUUAGAGCGUUGCCUGCAAAAUAUUAAAUACAGAAAAGAAUGAGAGCGGCAAUGAGUAGAUUUCCAAGGUCUAUAACACAGGGAACAUGAAACAGUUUGAAAAUAAGUAAUACUGGAAUGAAUGAAGGAUGGUUUAGGAAGGUUAUGAAGAAAGAAUUAAAAUCACAUUCAACAAUUAUUCCUGACCAAGAAAGAGGACAGACCUAAGAAAAUGAAAAGUUUAACUAGGAAAAACAGGCUAGAGUUUGGGUCAUGUAAGAUGUAAGGGAACGAGGUGGUUCCAGGAGGACAGUGCCGGGCCAGUGUCAGGGGAGCAGUGCUGGGAUCUUUGAGGAGCUGGCAAGCGGAGAGUGCAGCCCAGGGAGGCAGGCUGGCCUUCCACAGCAGUGAUUCUUCCCCGGGGUGGGGGGGGUGGUUUUCACCCGCGGGGGGGCUGGGGCAUGGACCCCAAGGGAGGCCUAUCAGAACAUCAGAGGGUGAGCAGUGCUCUGCUCCAAACAAAAACAAACCCAAAAACAUCCAAAAACAAAACACAAAAACAUUCCUCAGAGAUGCUGCUGAUAGGCCAGCCUUGGGGGUCAUGCAUCCUCGGGUGAGAAUCACUGGGGGGAAGGGCAGGUGGAGAGCUGGGCAGAGAGGUGAAGGGUGAGCAGAUGAGGCCCUGGGUGUGGCAGAGGGAGGCAUCAGAGUCCAGACUGUCAGACAAGGAGGAAAGGACCCAGGACCAGGCAGACAGCCAGCCAAGGGAUGUAGCCCACAAGGCACCUGGGACAGUGGGGGCUGGGGGUGGGAUUGGGGAGGUGGUUACUAUCAAUUGGUUGGGAGUGGAUUGCAAGCAUGGUGUCCCCGAGCUUAAGAGUUCCGAGUAGGGCUAAAGGAGAUGGAAGUGGUGACUGAAAGGAAGGCGCGUUGUGUGUAUUUGCACAUAGAGCACCAGAAGGGACCUCUGCACAAUGGAAGGGGCAGAGGGGAUGGGAGAGGUCAGAACAUCUGGGAGAGGUGACUGCUAGGAGGGAGGAGGAGGAGGAGGGCCAACAGAAGGCCCAGGGCUCUGCGCAGGUCUAGACAGAGGAUGGAGGUGUCCGGGGCUGGGGGUGACUGGCAGGUGUGGAGGCAAGAGGGUGAGAAGAAGGUGAGAGCGCUGUGGCGAAAGGAAGGGGUAGGAGAAUCAGAGGCUGAGGAUCCCUGAGAGCUGUGUCAGAGUGUGAGACGAAGGUCUGGAUGGAAACAUGAAGGGUUACAGGGGCUGUGGGGCCUGGGAGGUGAGCUCAGCUGGGCUCUGAAGCAUGUGCUGGAGGGUGGAGCCUGUGGGUUCAGCAGAGUGUGACUGAGGCAGAGACGACUGUACUCGGUUGAGCAGCAGAUGGGGGACUGAGAAGGGAGCACACAGCAGAGGAGACAACUGAGGCCAGCUGGAGGGGUCACAGAGUAGCUGAAGGGUUCCUGUGUGUGCUCUGGAGAAGCAAACCCGGAGAGACCUAGAAACUGGGCUGAGGAUGUGGGAGGUCAGGUGAGCUGCCUCAGACAACUGAGCGAGUGCGGUGCAGGAGAGGGGGUCCGACAGGCCAGAGAGGGAGGAACCGCAGGAGACGGCGCCCAGCAGCCAGGACAGGAGAGGCUUGUUGAGAGGAUCAGGGAACACACUGUGCCCAGAGGGAACAGGAAGGGAGAGGGGUGUCAGGGAGCUAGCAGAGAGUGGGUGUGGAGAACCUGCCCCCAAAGUGGGCCCAGGGCAUGAGGAAGCCCCUGCAGGAGGAAGAGCACAGCGCAGGCCAGGUGAGUGAGGAACUGGGAGAGGUGGGAUGCGGCCAGCGCAGGAUGAGCAGCUAGAGGCAGUGGCGCAGUGGAGAUGCUGGAGAUGGGCAAAGUGAGAAGAAAGGGCACAGAGAAGCAAUGACCUUCCUCAGUGUAGUGGGCACAGAAAGGCAUGGGGCUUAGGGGGGAAUCCACACAGUAGAUGGAUUUAGUACAGUGUACUGGUGACAAAAAAUUGGCCAUCCUGGGAGCAUUAGGGUUGGUCAAGGGGAAGAGCACUCCAUGCUUCUCAUGACUGAGUGGUAAGGAGUUGCUCAGAGGAUGGAAGGGAAGAGAAACGGGGAGGGACAUCACAAGGGAAGGGGGAGGGAGAGAGCCUUAGGGAUACGUGAGAGGCAGAGCAGGGAAAGGGGAAGGCAGCCUAUAGAGCGCUCAAUCUGGAGACUUCAGCAGAUCUCAGGGUUCAAGCGGCAGGACGUAGGUGCAGCACAGAGAUGAGACCUAACCGUCCAGACAUUUGGAAACUCAGGUUCUCAGGAGCAAAUGGGGUCCUGGAGCUGCAGUGACUGGGCAUCACUGCACAUUAAGAAGGAUCCUGUAGAGAAACCAUCAGUGCGUAACGUCAGAGACUUCGGAUGGACUUACAUGGCUGGAGUCAGAGUGUGGUAGCGAAGCUGGCAGGGGAGUGAGGGAGAGGCAGGGCUGUGCUGGCAUUUCCAGCCAUCACCAGUUCUGAGCUUUUGCUCUUCGGGGGGGUGGGCACUGGAAAGCGGGGUGCAGGUGCAGCUUGCGGUGGAGAAACCACACGCAUGGAAGGAGGGGGACCUUCAAAAGCAGUGGGGUGUCAGAGGUCCAGUCUGAGAAGAUCAUGUGGGCAGCAAAGGGGCAGAGGGAGUGGGCAGUGGGUGGGAUACGGAGGGGCUUGGGGGUGAAGGACUCUUGCUUGAGAGACAACCCAGGAAACAACAGAGCGGGCAAUGCAGAAUGGGAUGGAAAGAGGAGGAUCUUAAAGUCUGCACAGGAGGGGAUCAUGGCCCAGAGGGAAACAGGGCAAGGAAUAGAUCCAGACCAUGUCACCGGGGAGUGGGGGGGCAAGGCGUGGAUCCCAGGGACGAUGGGAGAGAGAGAGAAGUAGUGGAGAGGGAAGGAGGAGGGGGGAGUGGGGGCCUGGUGGAAAGAAUUGUGGUCAGCGGUUGAUUAAAAAGGAACAGAAGAUUUAAGGAAGGUGAGAUGAGGCGGGUAUAAGGAUUAGGAAGCCUAAAAAGACUAGACCCAGUGGAAGGACCUGACAAGAGAGAGCAGGUGGUCUCGGAGCGAACAUAGCAGGGUAGGGG